CCUACGGGAGACAGCAGUGAGGAAUAUUGGUCAAUGGCCGAGAGGCUGAACCAGCCAAGUCGCGUGAGGGAAGACGGCCCUACGGGUUGUAAACCUCUUUUGUCGGGGAGCAAAGCGAGUCACGUGUGACUCAUUGAGAGUACCCGACGAAAAAGCAUCGGCUAACUCCGUGCCAGCAGCCGCGGUAAUACGGAGGAUGCGAGCGUUAUCCGGAUUUAUUGGGUUUAAAGGGUGCGCAGGCGGAGGUGCAAGUCAGCGGUCAAAUUGCGGGGCUCAACCCCGUACUGCCGUUGAAACUGCAGCCCUUGAGUGCGCGAGAAGUAGGCGGAAUGCGUGGUGUAGCGGUGAAAUGCAUAGAUAUCACGCAGAACUCCGAUUGCGAAGGCAGCAUACCGGCGCGCAACUGACGCUCAUGCACGAAAGCGUGGGUAUCGAACAGGAUUAGAUACCCCUGUAGUC
RNAcentral lists this ribosomal RNA (459 nucleotides) under uncultured bacterium. Its description in RNAcentral is "partial 16S ribosomal RNA". It matches the Rfam family "Bacterial small subunit ribosomal RNA", at positions 338 to 795 of the family's 1533-position model. The record is from RNAcentral.